CAUGUCCUGGUAAUUUUUCAUUUUGGCCUAAUCUGUUAAGAUGGUUAGACAUUAAUUUCGUUUAGUGAUUUUGCCUUGGGAAACUACUGCAACCAUCUGUGUUUUGGGCAACAUAACUGAAGAGAAAAAGUUCUAUUAAAGCAAAUAUGCUUUAAAAUGAAAAAAUAAAAUAUAAAUAAAUAGGGACAGUGUGAAAUGGUACUUCGUACACCUAGAAAUAUUUUGAAAGCUAUUUGAGCAUGAUGUUUUUAUUUUGAAAAUAUCUAUAUGCAUGGAACAAGGAUAAGGCGAAUUUAUUGCUAACUUUUUUUACAAGUAACGAUCAAUUUAUUAUACAAUAUGCUAAAGGUGCAUUUCUAGUAAAACGAGGAUUGCAGAUUUUUUGCAAACUAAUUGUCAUUACAUGUGAAGUUACACUCAUAUUGGUAAUACUCUUUUUAUUUUUUUAUUUUAUUUUAUUUUAUUUUUUAAUUUUUUUUAUAAUUAAUAGGAAACUUUAUUCCCAAGAAUAGGCAAAGCCACAGGACGUAUACAAAGGAAUACCUACAUCUCUCUAAAGACAAAAGAAAAGCUAAUACAAAUUCAGGAAGUUAACAUAGUUGUAAUACUAGUCAGACUCUCUUACAUGGUUGUCAUAACCUCUAAAUAUAAGAUAAUUCAACCCUAAAACCCUGGUAACUUUAGAUCAAGAUAAUCCUUACCAUACACAUUAGCUUGAAUUAAAAAAAAAAAAACUUAGAGUAACCUAGUUAUAUUAGCACAGAAUAUUGCUUCCUUAUGCUGCUACAGUGCAUUGGACAGUACUCACAAUAUAUCCAUUUUUCUUAUUCCAAAAAAUUUGCAUUCUAUGGAUUUUAUGUUUCCUGUUAGUGAUUUUUCUAGCUUUGAGGUUCAAGUAACACUUCGAGAUUGGAGAACUGAAUCAAGGUUUAUGAAACUUCAAAGAGAUCAGUUUGAGUUAAAGCUAUUCCAAAGUGACCACUUUUAUUUUGUCCCAAUGAGGGCUGCUAACUAGGCAUCAGGUUCUGGGAGACAUUUGCAUCUGUGCAUAUGAGGCUUGAUCUUGACAGAAACCUUCAUCACUCAUGUUGGGUUAAAACUUUCUAUUUCCUUUUUAUUUUUUCAGUCUAGAAUUUAUUAGUUUGCAUAGAACUGUACAAAUAAUAUCCUGUAUUGGAGGAUUUAAAUUCUUGCAAAUUGAAAUUCAGUGCUGAAAAUUGAAGUAGUUCAUGGAAUUUUGAAAGUGAAAACCUAAAUACUUGAAAUUUACCUCCCGAAGUCUCUGGGAGCUAAUAAAAAAAAAAGUGAUUAGUCAGGAUGCCCGGGAUUAGUCCGGACCCCUGGGAUUAGUCCAGAUUCUGUUCCCCUACACCUGGUGCCAAUAAAAAAAAAAAAAGUUUUUGGGAGUGUCAAAGCUUCAGUUUUCAAUACCUAUAACUGAAAAGGUGAUUUUUUGUUCAGCAUUUUUUGGGUUCUAGAGGAUAUGUCCCCAAUGUCAUGCAUAUCUGUAAAGAAAAAGGGUAAAAGUGAAAAAAUCUUUCCUAGGAGUGAUG
Molecule: long non-coding RNA, 1553 nt
Organism: Carya illinoinensis
Lineage: Eukaryota; Viridiplantae; Streptophyta; Magnoliopsida; Fagales; Juglandaceae
Exons: 2
Source: RefSeq, a predicted model, not a curated record